AAAGGUUGAUGAUCUAAAAGGAGCUGCUAACUCCCUUUUAAAGCGGUUAAAUUCCGUUUACCUUUU
This 66-nucleotide transfer RNA is filed under the name Micronecta sahlbergii. RNAcentral's name for it is "tRNA-Ser". The record is from RNAcentral. Lineage: Eukaryota; Metazoa; Arthropoda; Insecta; Hemiptera; Micronectidae.